Molecule: ribosomal RNA, 971 nt
Filed under: uncultured bacterium
Lineage: Bacteria
Description: bacterial SSU rRNA
Rfam family: Bacterial small subunit ribosomal RNA
Source: RNAcentral
AGAGUUUGAUCAUGGCUCAGAGCGAACGCUGGCGGCAGGCUUAACACAUGCAAGUCGAGCGGGCGUAGCAAUACGUCAGCGGCAGACGGGUGAGUAACGCGUGGGAACGUACCUUUUGGUUCGGAACAACCCAGGGAAACUUGGGCUAAUACCGGAUAAGCCCUUACGGGGAAAGAUUUAUCGCCGAAAGAUCGGCCCGCGUCUGAUUAACUAGUUGGUGAGGUAACGGCUCACCAAGGCGACGAUCAGUAGCUGGUCUGAGAGGAUGAUCAGCCACAUUGGGACUGAGACACGGCCCAAACUCCUGCGGGAGGCAGCAGUGGGGAAUAUUGGACAAUGGGCGCAAGCCUGAUCCAGCCAUGCCGCGUGAGUGAUGAAGGCCCUAGGGUUGUAAAGCUCUUUUGUGCGGGAAGAUAAUGACGGUACCGCAAGAAUAAGCCCCGGCUAACUUCGUGCCAGCAGCCGCGGUAAUACGAAGGGGGCUAGCGUUGCUCGGAAUCACUGGGCGUAAAGGGUGCGUAGGCGGGUCUUUAAGUCAGGGGUGAAAUCCUGGAGCUCAACUCCAGAACUGCCUUUGAUACUGAGGAUCUUGAGUUCGGGAGAGGUGAGUGGAACUGCGAGUGUAGAGGUGAAAUUCGUAGAUAUUCGCAAGAACACCAGUGGCGAAGGCGGCUCACUGGCCCGAUACUGACGCUGAGGCACGAAAGCGUGGGGAGCAAACAGGAUUAGAUACCCUGGUAGUCCACGCCGUAAACGAUGAAUGCCAGCCGUUAGUGGGUUUACUCACUAGUGGCGCAGCUAACGCUUUAAGCAUUCCGCCUGGGGAGUACGGUCGCAGAUUAAACUCAAAGGAUUGACGGGGCCCGCACAGCGUGGAGCAUGUGGUUUAUUCGACGCACGCGCAGACUUACUAGCCUGACAUCCGUCGCGACUCAGAGACGAGUUCUUCAGUUCGCUGACCGAGACAGUGC